GACGCUCUCUAUUGUCGAACUUGUGAAAAAUCCGUUCGUUAUUGUCCCACGCACUUCGGUGGGUCCGAGUACAAAAGAAACCGACUCAUUGAUUUCCAACUUCUCGCUCGUCUUCAUCAUUUUCUCAUUCACUCCGGGAUGCCAGUUAACUAGACUUUAAUAUCCGGAAACCUGGAAAACUUGGAAGAAGUCGAUUUUUCGUCAUCCCCCUCUCCUCCCCCCCUUCCUCCCUUGCCCCUCAUUCAAGAAGAAGGAGAAAACAAAUCAUCUGAAAUUGCCACCUAGCACCUCACGAGUGAAAAUUGACUGGUCAUCAUCAUGAGACGCGCCCACCAGAAAUAACAUAAUCGAUUUUGCGCAGAGUCGACCGCCAACGAUGCUGCACUCACGGAAAUGGCCCGCCCCCUAUUUCCAGUGAAGCUGAGGAUAUAAAACACUGGUUCGUUGCAGCUGAAGCAGUCCUCAUUUCCCAAAAUGUAUCGCUCGAUACAUGCUAAAUGGCUCCUCAGCGGUAAAGAUCAAAGGUAAUGCCGACGGAAUUCAGUGGCCAAGGUAUCAUAAUAAUUUGCUUGGGGCCUCUUCACGUGUUCAGUAUUGGAAUAGGGAAUGCCGACGGGGGUCUUUAAACCCGACGAAUCACCAUCGUGCUAAAUUAAAACUAAAUGGAUCUCUAAAAUCGUUUUACUGAUCUUUCUGGCUUUCCCAUUGUAAUCACGACAGUUUUAGGUCCAGGUGCCGAAGUCCAGGCUUCAACGACAACCGCAAGCUUGAUUCAAGGUAGGAUGCCAAGCCUUGGAAUUCCUUAGAUCAAGCUUGAUUCCACGAAAAUGCCGAACUAGAACUAAAAUAGAUCAUCAAACAACCAAAGUGGACUGAAAAAAACUUGACUCAGGCUCCACGUUCACGGUUGCCUUGAGCUUGACAUCCAAGCGUGAACAAGAUUACGUUAGCUUGAUGCCAGCUUGGGACAAGCUUACCUAAUUCUCAAAAUACAAUAAAAAUACGGGUAAUUAACCUACGCCCAUAGUCAAUUCCCACCUGGGAGGU
Long non-coding RNA from Diachasmimorpha longicaudata, 1047 nucleotides. RefSeq lists it as uncharacterized. The transcript has 4 exons. The record is from RefSeq and is a predicted model, not a curated record. NCBI's taxonomy places the organism in Eukaryota, Metazoa, Arthropoda, Insecta, Hymenoptera, Braconidae.